AUGUUGUUUGAAAGGAGAGAAGGUUAGCACUCCCCUUGACAAGGAUGGAAGAGACCCUCGGGCCCGACAACAUGCAUAUGGUCAAGGCAUUGCCACCUACUUCACAGCAUCUAACCGACGUUUUUC
This 126-nucleotide non-coding RNA is filed under the name Suricata suricatta (meerkat). Lineage: Eukaryota; Metazoa; Chordata; Mammalia; Carnivora; Herpestidae. The record is from RNAcentral.